UUGAUGGAAGGAUGGGAAAUAUACACUCAAAAAAUAUUCAACUUGAAUUUAUGUGAAAACUCCCAUACAUUGAAAACGGGGUCCAUUCUGGAUGAAUUACAUGACUGUACACCCAGAAGACAAAUUACUAAAAUAAGCUACCAAAUCUUUGGUAAGCCAAACAUUAGUAGAAUGUACAUAUUUGCAUAAAUAUUAGUUAAAUAAACGCAAUACACAUCCCUACCAACGAUUGGUACAUUUUACUGUGCGUUAACUCAGACAAUUGUCACCUCUGGCAACCGCGAAAAAAUAUCGGUCAUUAUUUCAAUUUUCGCCGUGCUGAUAACAAUAAUAAAGGUUUUUACAUAUGGUCCACCUAAUCGCGCAGAGCGCAGAGAAACCGAUUCACAGUUGUGGUACUUUGCGAACCACCAGUGGAGAUAGAGGUAUCGUGCUGGGAAUAACCGGCGAAGAUGGUGAUAACUCGGCCGAUAAACAUCCGCUUGAUCUGGUGGACGAUUAAAUGUGAUAAAUGUCAGUAAUACUUGCAGUGUAAUCUCAUAGUGCAUCAGCAUUGCUCGGCCACGGGACAUGAACCGUGCGCAGCGGAAACUGGCAGUAGGACGGUAACGUUGACCAGCCGUAGUCACCAGGCCUUUGGACUUGGUCUUUGCUAGCAGUUUAGCGUGGCCGAGCUGCCGGCGCCGCAGAUUGUCAUAAUAUCUUGCAACGAGCUCGAACAGAAAGUGAUGUGUAACUUGAACCUGGAUCUGUAUAAUCUGUAUCGGACGACGUCACCGAACCACGAUGAGGUUAAACUGCGUGACUCACUCAACGAAAAUCUAAUCAACACCGAUCUGGGCAGCUAUUCACCGGAUGGUGUAGCCACGGUGCUCAAGAAGUUCUUACGGGAGCUGUCCGAUCCGAUCAUUCUGGUUAUGUUUUACGACAAAUUCGUCGUAAGCCUCAAUGAUGCGUAGCAAUCCGAUUUCAUAUCCAGGAUCUGCCAAUUUACCACAACAUGACGCUCAAGUAUAUCAUGAUACAUCUGAUACGAAUAUGCCAAAUGCAGUACCAGCGGGAACUGAAAGAAGAACCGACAAUACUGAUGCAAGUGUGGUGCCAUAUUCUAAUGUGUCCUUCUAGGGAGAAAAUUUUUCAAAUCUUGCAUAACACGGAAAACCACUUGCGAAUAAUGAAACUGUUGCUCUAUAAGCUGGACUGGAACAAAAAACUAUCAGAAUUUCUGUCUGCUCCUGCGGUACCACAACGGAAAAUCUCCCGAAGUACGGCUGUGUUACAGCAGCAGUAGCAGUAACAACAAAUACCCGGUUCGUCCACUGUUUUACCAGCAGAAUAUGCUGCUUCAAAAAACCUGCGAUAAAAUCCCCGGCAUCUGUGAUACAAGCGUCCUUGGUUGGGGUGUAUAAUAAUGCCCGUAGCAAUAGUAGUAAUGGAAUAGUGACUGCCGAAAGUCGGGGGACAGCGUUGAUACGAGCAGUUGAUGAUGCAAACACCAGCUGAUCUAACGAAUCAAAUCGACCGGUUCCUUCCUCGAGUUCCAAUUUUAUUUAUAUAGAAAUAAUUAUUUAUAAUUUUUAUUG
Molecule: long non-coding RNA, 1583 nt
Organism: Toxorhynchites rutilus septentrionalis
Lineage: Eukaryota; Metazoa; Arthropoda; Insecta; Diptera; Culicidae
Exons: 5
Source: RefSeq, a predicted model, not a curated record